RNAcentral lists this ribosomal RNA (553 nucleotides) under uncultured Pseudomonadota bacterium. RNAcentral's name for it is "bacterial SSU rRNA". It matches the Rfam family "Bacterial small subunit ribosomal RNA", at positions 162 to 710 of the family's 1533-position model. Lineage: Bacteria; Pseudomonadati; Pseudomonadota. The record is from RNAcentral.
GCUAAUACCGCAUAACGUCGCAAGACCAAAGAGGGGGACCUUCGGGCCUCUUGCCAUCGGAUGUGCCCAGAUGGGAUUAGCUAGUAGGUGGGGUAACGGCUCACCUAGGCGACGAUCCCUAGCUGGUCUGAGAGGAUGACCAGCCACACUGGAACUGAGACACGGUCCAGACUCCUACGGGAGGCAGCAGUGGGGAAUAUUGCACAAUGGGCGCAAGCCUGAUGCAGCCAUGCCGCGUGUAUGAAGAAGGCCUUCGGGUUGUAAAGUACUUUCAGCGGGGAGGAAGGGAGUAAAGUUAAUACCUUUGCUCAUUGACGUUACCCGCAGAAGAAGCACCGGCUAACUCCGUGCCAGCAGCCGCGGUAAUACGGAGGGUGCAAGCGUUAAUCGGAAUUACUGGGCGUAAAGCGCACGCAGGCGGUUUGUUAAGUCAGAUGUGAAAUCCCCGGGCUCAACCUGGGAACUGCAUCUGAUACUGGCAAGCUUGAGUCUCGUAGAGGGGGGUAGAAUUCCAGGUGUAGCGGUGAAAUGCGUAGAGAUCUGGAGGAAUACC